CCCCGUCAGGAUGAACGCUGGCGGCGUGCUUAACACAUGCAAGUCGAACGGUGAACACGGAGCUUGCUCUGUGGGAUCAGUGGCGAACGGGUGAGUAACACGUGAGCAACCUGCCCCUGACUCUGGGAUAAGCGCUGGAAACGGCGUCUAAUACUGGAUACGAGUAGCGGCCGCAUGGUCAGUUACUGGAAAGAUUUUUUGGUUGGGGAUGGGCUCGCGGCCUAUCAGCUUGUUGGUGAGGUAAUGGCUCACCAAGGCGUCGACGGGUAGCCGGCCUGAGAGGGUGACCGGCCACACUGGGACUGAGACACGGCCCAGACUCCUACGGGAGGCAGCAGUGGGGAAUAUUGCACAAUGGGCGGAAGCCUGAUGCAGCAACGCCGCGUGAGGGAUGACGGCCUUCGGGUUGUAAACCUCUUUUAGCAGGGAAGAAGCGAAAGUGACGGUACCUGCAGAAAAAGCGCCGGCUAACUACGUGCCAGCAGCCGCGGUAAUACGUAGGGCGCAAGCGUUAUCCGGAAUUAUUGGGCGUAAAGAGCUCGUAGGCGGUUUGUCGCGUCUGCUGUGAAAUCCCGAGGCUCAACCUCGGGCCUGCAGUGGGUACGGGCAGACUAGAGUGCGGUAGGGGAGAUUGGAAUUCCCUGGUGUAGCCGGUGGAAUGCGCAGGAUAUCCAGGAGGAACACCCGAUUGGCGAAGGCCAGAUUCUCUGGGCCCGUAACUA
Molecule: ribosomal RNA, 722 nt
Filed under: Microbacterium foliorum
Lineage: Bacteria; Bacillati; Actinomycetota; Actinomycetes; Micrococcales; Microbacteriaceae
Description: bacterial SSU rRNA
Rfam family: Bacterial small subunit ribosomal RNA
Source: RNAcentral